Molecule: long non-coding RNA, 564 nt
Organism: Lagenorhynchus albirostris (white-beaked dolphin)
Lineage: Eukaryota; Metazoa; Chordata; Mammalia; Artiodactyla; Delphinidae
Exons: 3
Source: RefSeq, a predicted model, not a curated record
CCGGGGCCGGGGCCGGGGUGGCGUGCUGACCCCCGAGGGCAGAAACGGGCUGGGUCUCCGGUUUCAGGGUACGGGGUCCAGACCUCGCCGAGACCGGCUCGGGGCUGGCGGAGCCCGGGGAGCGGCUCAGCUGUGUCAGCUAUAGUCUAGAGCUCCUGGGGGCAUCAUUAGACUCUCCAGGAACAGACUCCCCCAUCACACACAUCCACCCGCCAGCCUAGGAGGAUAUAAUCAGUGGUUAAGAAUCCGCCUGCCAAUGAAGGGGACACGGGUUCGAGCCCUGGGCUGGGAAGACCCCACAUGCCAUGGAGCAACUAAGCCCGUGUGCCACAACUACUGAGCCCGAGCACCACAACUACUGAGCCCGUGUGCCACAACUACUGAACCCGUGCGCCACAACUACUGAAGCCUGCUCUCCUAGAGUCCGUGCUCCGCAACAAGAGAAGCCACCGUAAUGAGAAGCCCACGCACCACAAUGAAAAGUAGCCCCCGCUUGCCGCAACUAGAGAAAGCCUGCACACAGCAUCAAAGACCCAACGCAGACAAAAAUAAAUUUAAAAAAAA